CUCCAACGAGCGCAACCCUGAUCUAGCCAUGCCGCGUGAGUGAUGAAGGCCUUAGGGUUGUAAAGCUCUUUCAGCUGUGAAGAUAAUGACGGUAGCAGCAGAAGAAGUCCCGGCUAACUCCGUGCCAGCAGCCGCGGUAAUACGGAGGGGACUAGCGUUGUUCGGAAUUACUGGGCGUAAAGCGCACGUAGGCGGAUCGGAAAGUUGGGGGUGAAAUCCCGGGGCUCAACCCCGGAACUGCCUUCAAAACUAUCGGUCUGGAGUUCGAGAGAGGUGAGUGGAAUUCCGAGUGUAGAGGUGAAAUUCGUAGAUAUUCGGAGGAACACCAGUGGCGAAGGCGGCUCACUGGCUCGAUACUGACGCUGAGGUGCGAAAGCGUGGGGAGCAAACAGGAUUAGAA
RNAcentral lists this ribosomal RNA (400 nucleotides) under uncultured bacterium. RNAcentral's name for it is "bacterial SSU rRNA". It matches the Rfam family "Bacterial small subunit ribosomal RNA", at positions 363 to 783 of the family's 1533-position model. The record is from RNAcentral.